UGCCACUUUUAAGAUCGGUCAUAAAAUAACCGAUCUUAAAAGUACUUUUAAGAUCGAUUAUUUCAUGACCGAUCUUAAAAGUGACA
RNAcentral lists this microRNA precursor (86 nucleotides) under Cajanus cajan (pigeon pea). Its description in RNAcentral is "miRNA gene-KK1_040864". The record is from RNAcentral. Lineage: Eukaryota; Viridiplantae; Streptophyta; Magnoliopsida; Fabales; Fabaceae.